GCCAGGCGUGGUGACGUGUGCCUGUAGUCUCAGCUACUUGGGAGGCUGAGGUGGGAGGAUCACUUGAGCCUGGGAGUUCUGGGCUGCAGUGCCUAUGCAGAUCGGGUGUCCACACUAAGUUCGGCAUCAAUAUGGUGACCUCCCGGGAGCAGGGGACCACCAGGUUGCCUAAGGAGGGGUGAACUGGCCCAGGUCGGAAACGGAGCAGGUCAAAACUCCCGUGCUGAUCAGUAGUGGGAUCACGUCUGUGAAUAGCCACUGCACUCCAGCCUGGGCAACAUAGCAAGACCUCGUCUCA
Molecule: signal recognition particle RNA, 298 nt
Filed under: Aotus nancymaae (Ma's night monkey)
Lineage: Eukaryota; Metazoa; Chordata; Mammalia; Primates; Aotidae
Description: Metazoan signal recognition particle RNA (ENSANAG00000003498.1)
Rfam family: Metazoan signal recognition particle RNA
About the family: The signal recognition particle (SRP) is a universally conserved ribonucleoprotein.
Source: RNAcentral